UAUAAUAUAAAGGUAAUUUGUUAUGGUGUAUUGGAAAAUACUGAGUGAUGUGUCCUCUAUAAUGUUUAUAGAAUCCUACACGACAUGGACAAUUAUCACACUACAAACCGCAGUCAAUAUUGUGAUACUCGAGUAUAUUGGAAUAGAGUAUGAAAAGUAAUCAUUUGUAGGCGUUUUAAUAAACCACCUCCUGCAUGAAUCAUUUCUAUGUGUUUGAACUGUGGUUUUUUGUUUUUUGUUUUUGUUCAGUAAAGACUUUUAAUGUGUGGUGAAUAACUAAAACAUUUAUGUAGUUGAACUUGAUGUAGCUUGAUUACUUUUCUAUUCUUUAAUGACUGGCCUGUUGAGACGCUUUUGAAAAUGGUACAUGUAAGUGAUGUUUUUUCUUCUCUGACCCUACCAGUAAUAGGGUCUGUAAGUCUCGUUGGGUUUCACUUUCGGUUUUACUACUUCCGGGUACAACAACAUGUGGAAUAUAUAAAGUCGUAACAGAGAAUCGGCGCUAAUAUGUAAUUUGGUGUAUUGUUAAGCGAUCGGUUGCAUACAUGAGACUGGGAAAACCCUGACAUGUAGUUUAUUUAGGUUCCUAGUCGAUGCUACAGUAAGGAAGCGGUGGAUACAAAGAUGUAGACACAAAGUUACGAAACCUGCAGAAGCAUCUGCUUGAAACGUACAUGUAGGAACCGAAGUUGAUACUGCUACCAAUAUAUCUGUACCAGACAACAAUGAAGUGGAUCUACAUGAUCACGAGCACACAACAUCAAACCCUCAAGAUUUAAAAAGCUUCCCUUGAAGACUAUGAUGCUGUAAACUUGCAAUGAGAAAUAUACUUGCUUAAUUAAAGGAAACCAUCCUUGACAAUUGGGAACAUCAUAAUUGAAAGAGCCUGGAAAGGGAUCAUGAACACUGUUGGAAGUGUCCAUUCAACUGAAAUAUAAAAGUCAGAAGAAUUGAAGAUUGCAAUAGAUGCAACAGAAGUGACCUAAUAUGACCAAAUUGAUAUGAAUAGCCAGUUUUUCGCUUGCAGUAAUGUCAAGAGUCGCCACAAAGAAAAGACCUUAAUGUGUAUUACACCUAAUGCAGCUUAUUUCCAAUCUGUAUGCUGGAUACAAAUCUAAUUUGGCAAUUGUGAACCAUUGUGGCAUUUUAGAGAAGUUGCAAGUUGGUGAUAUAUUCCUGGCGGACAAAGGAUUUUGUAUAUUUGACAAACUUCCAAAUGACAUGACACUUCUUUCUUACAAAUAAAUCCCACUUCUCAAAAGAAGAUGCACAACUUUGCUAUAAAAUUUCCAGAUGCAGAAUCCAUGUUGGAUGGGAAAAUGAGAGAAUAAUUUUUUUUUUUAAAAUUCCUUAGCCAUAUUCUAUCAUAGUAUAGAUAUUGAUCUGACAAAAUAUUUCAGAUUUGUGUGGAUCAUGUGAAUUUGCAGGUUCCCCUUUUGAAGGAGAUUGCAGAUAAAUCCUACAAACUUAUUAGAUUAAUUGCAUGUAUAUAUAUAUACCUUAAAUCUGCACAUACCUGCCACAUUGAAUUUUUAAAGUUAAAAGUAAUGAAUACCAUAUAUGCAAUAUAACUUUUCUACAUAUUUAUAUAAAUAUAAAGCCUUUUAUAUUCAUAUGAAUAUAAAGCCCUUUGGAACGUCUCCAUCAGAAUGAAAUAUUCUCGAGAGGAACGUUAAACAAUAUACAAUCAAAUAUAAAGCCUUUUGUUCUCAUUCUGAAGGUUUUCAAAUCUGCAUUAUUAAAAAAGAAGUAAAAUCCAUUGUUUUAGUAAAUGCAUGUAAUUGAAUGAUUUUUGUAAAGCUGGACACUGUUUCUAUACAUGUAUACAUGUAUUUUGGUUCAUCUAAAAUAAGAAAAACUCUGUCUAUAAUGUUUAUUCAAUAAAUAUACAUGUAAUUACAUAACUUUGAUAGAUGCACCACUGAUAUCAUAAUAAAGUAUAUGUACAUGUG
Ostrea edulis (European flat oyster) is the source of this 1952-nucleotide long non-coding RNA. RefSeq lists it as uncharacterized. The record is from RefSeq and is a predicted model, not a curated record. NCBI's taxonomy places the organism in Eukaryota, Metazoa, Mollusca, Bivalvia, Ostreida, Ostreidae. The transcript is spliced from 4 exons.